Molecule: long non-coding RNA, 328 nt
Filed under: Actinidia chinensis (golden kiwifruit)
Lineage: Eukaryota; Viridiplantae; Streptophyta; Magnoliopsida; Ericales; Actinidiaceae
Description: long non-coding RNA (ACHI_LNC000582)
Source: RNAcentral
CCCGGAAGACAAAAAAACUAGAAAACCCAAACAGCUAAAGAAUCUAUAAAAAAAAUAGGCCAAACAUAUGAUCCAGACAAUUAAUUUAUUUUUAUUCAAUUGUAUAGUAUUUUCCUCUAUAAUAAGAUGCACGCUAGAAUUAUAGCAAAAGCAAAUAAAUCUGUAAUGGAAACUAUAAAAUAAAAUGAAAGUAAUGAGCAUGCAGAAGCAAGAGUAACAUAAACAAACAUGAAAUAUGUGUACAUAUAUAAAGAACAACUGUAACAUCACAUUGGAACAACUGGUGCCACAUUGUGACCUCAGUUCUAAAGGUGACAAUAAUUGAAAG